AUUAUCCUUUAAGUGGACAAACUCCUUUGCGCCCUUGCGGGUGUAGGGAAAAAGGAGGUAUGACAGCCCUGGGGACUCCGCUGGGGACAAGAACCCAGAAUGUUUUGUUCAGGAUUUAGAAUUCGAGCUUAGAAUAAUUUUUGUAUUUGUUAUAUCUGAUUUUCCUACAUGUUUCAUGCUUAAUGUGUUAAAUGUUUACCGCUUUGAUAUUAUCUGAACUGUAUAUAAACUGUGUCAAAACCCUUCUCCUCUCACCUCCGGGGAUGUGCUUAAUAGUUUAGGCUCCUUAUUUUGUUAGUGUCAUACCCCGAAAUAAGAAAAAGGCUCGGACAAGUUGCAAAGCCAGACGAUCUCGCGGGUCCCCAGUAUGCUGCCCCCUCCUCGACUCGAGUUGUCCGCUCGGGUGCACUGUUUAGAACACAUACCCAGGCUUUGAACCUAGAAUAACGUGAAAUCAUACCGAAUCCGUAGUAUGAGCACUUAUUUGCAUCAUUAUACAUUUGACUUAGGGGAAUUAACACAGAGGUUGGGUCCGUCUAGAACUAGCAACCCAAAAUGAAAAGACAAUCC
Molecule: long non-coding RNA, 570 nt
Filed under: Nicotiana benthamiana
Lineage: Eukaryota; Viridiplantae; Streptophyta; Magnoliopsida; Solanales; Solanaceae
Description: long non-coding RNA (NBEN_LNC038628)
Source: RNAcentral